GACGAACGCUGGCGGCGUGCCUAAUACAUGCAAGUCGAACGCUUCUUUCCUCCCGAGUGCUUGCACUCAAUUGGAAAGAGGAGUGGCGGACGGGUGAGUAACACGUGGGUAACCUACCCAUCAGAGGGGGAUGACACUUGGAAACAGGUGCUAAUACCGCAUAACAGUUUAUGCCGCAUGGCAUAAGAGUGAAAGGCGCUUUCGGGUGUCGCUGAUGGAUGGACCCGCGGUGCAUUAGCUAGUUGGUGAGGUAACGGCUCACCAAGGCCACGAUGCAUAGCCGACCUGAGAGGGUGAUCGGACACACUGGGACUGAGACACGGCCCAGACUCCUACGGGAGGCAGCAGUAGGGAAUCUUCGGCAAUGGACGAAAGUCUGACCGAGCAACGCCGCGUGAGUGAAGAAGGUGUUCGGAUCGUAAAACUCUGUUGUUAGAGAAGAACAAGGACGUUAGUAACUGAACGUCCCCUGACGGUAUCUAACCAGAAAGCCACGGCUAACUACGUG
This 508-nucleotide ribosomal RNA is filed under the name uncultured bacterium. Its description in RNAcentral is "partial 16S ribosomal RNA". It matches the Rfam family "Bacterial small subunit ribosomal RNA", at positions 28 to 507 of the family's 1533-position model. The record is from RNAcentral.